Molecule: ribosomal RNA, 507 nt
Filed under: uncultured bacterium
Lineage: Bacteria
Description: partial 16S ribosomal RNA
Rfam family: Bacterial small subunit ribosomal RNA (bases 20-332)
Source: RNAcentral
GACGAACGCUGGCGGCGUGCUUAACACAUGCAAGUCGAACGGAAAGGCCCUGCUUUUGUGGGGUGCUCGAGUGGCGAACGGGUGAGUAGCACGUGAGUAACCUGCCCUUGACUUUGGGAUAACUUCAGGAAACUGGGGCUAAUACCGGAUAGGAGCUCCUGCUGCAUGGUGGGGGUUGGAAAGUUUCGGCGGUUGGGGAUGGACUCGCGGCUUAUCAGCUUGUUGGUGGGGUAGUGGCUUACCAAGGCUUUGACGGGUAGCCGGCCUGAGAGGGUGACCGGCAACCUAUGUACUGUGCAACGGCCCAGGUGUGGAGGGGAGGGCGCGGGGGGCAAGAGGGCAGAGGGGGGGGAGGGCUGAUGCAGAGACGCGGGGGUGGUGCUGCCGGUCGUGGGUGUCAAAACCUUUUCCGCCGGGGACGAGGCGUGAGGGGGGGAAAGGGGAAAAGCAGCAGCGGAAAACUAGGGACGAGGGGGAGCUGAAAGAGAGAGAAGGACCCGCUUGAAC